Bos taurus (domestic cattle) is the source of this 982-nucleotide long non-coding RNA. The record is from Ensembl. Lineage: Eukaryota; Metazoa; Chordata; Mammalia; Artiodactyla; Bovidae.
GUAUCAUCAUUGCCCAGCAGCUGAUUAAGACAAGAGAAAAUUUUUUCAAUUUGGAUCUUCCAUGGAUGGUGGUAAUCAUAUUUUGAAUGAUUUUCCAAGGAGACUAUGAAGAGUGCCUCUGUAAAAUUUUAAUUUUAUAGGAGGACCUCAGUCUCCGCGCGCCAAGCCAGGACUCAUGGAAAACGGCAGAGGAUGUGUUAGACCACCAGAGGGCGCUCCGGCACCGCAGGAGCGAGGAAAGCCAGUCUUGCAGCGGAAGUGAAACCGAUCAAGUGUUGCCUGUAAUCAGAUGGUGGCUCAGUGGUGAAGAAUCCGCCUGCCAAUGCAGGAGACAUGGGUUUGAUCCCUGGAUCGGAAAGAUCCCCUGGAGGAGGAAAUGGCAUCCCAUUCCAGUAUUCCGGCCUGGAGAAUCCCAUGGACAGAGAACCCUGGUGGGCUACAGUCCAUGGGGUCAAAAAGAGUCGGACACAACUUAGAGACUAAACAGCAACAAAAUCUCCUUAGGCUGCCUCACCUGUCCCCUCCCACGGAAACCACAGUAAGGACUCUGCCCCCUCAUCAUGUCCUCACUCCUGUCUGCCUCCUGGCUGAGCUGGUGCUGCCCUGGGGCAUGGUGGGCUCCCCCUUCUUGGGAUCUGAGAAUGGAACCCUGCUGUUUUCACUGCUCGCAUUUCUGACACCAAACAUGUGUUGCUGUUUUCCCACACCAACCACCAGUUCUCCGAUCCUCCAGACCCCUAAUGAGUGCCCCCAGGCACCCAUCAUCUUACCAUCAUUAACAUACAGAAAGGCAUUCUCAGGACUCGAGAUUCCAGGGUUUUCUGAGCUAUCUUGGAUGAAGACCAAAUAUUGAAACAAAUGAUGCUCUUCUCACUUCCGUCACUCAGGAAAUGACAAGGGUUUCAGAAACUCUGUCAGGAACUGGGGACAAAGAUCAAAUACAUAUUUCUUACUGCAUAAUAAACAUACUAUAAUAAUAAAC